This 443-nucleotide ribosomal RNA is filed under the name uncultured bacterium. Its description in RNAcentral is "partial 16S ribosomal RNA". It matches the Rfam family "Bacterial small subunit ribosomal RNA", at positions 338 to 795 of the family's 1533-position model. The record is from RNAcentral.
CCUACGGGUGGCAGCAGUGGGGAAUAUUGGGCAAUGGGCGCAAGCCUGACCCAGCAACGCCGCGUGAAGGAAGAAGGCUUUCGGGUUGUAAACUUCUUUUGUCAGGGACGAAGCAAGUGACGGUACCUGACGAAUAAGCCACGGCUAACUACGUGCCAGCAGCCGAGGUAAUACGUAGGUGGCAGGCGUUAUCCGGAUGUAAUGGGUGUAAAGGGCGUGUAGGCGGGAAUGCAAGUCAGAUGUGAAAACUAUGGGCUUAACCCAUAGCCUGCCUUUGAAACGGGAUUUCUUGAGUGCUGGGGAGGCAAACGGAAUUCCGUGUGUAGCGGUGAAAUGCGUAGAUAUAAGGAAGAACACCAGUGGCGAAGGCGGAUUACUGGACAGUAACUGACGCUGAGGCGCGAAAGCGUGGGGAGCAAACAGGAUUAGAUACCCGUGUAGUC